AGAGUUUGAUCCUGGCUCAGAUUGAACGCUGGCGGCAUGCCUUACACAUGCAAGUCGAACGGCAGCACGGGAGCUUGCUCCUGGUGGCGAGUGGCGAACGGGUGAGUAAUAUAUCGGAACGUACCCUAGAGUGGGGGAUAACGCAGCGAAAGUUGCGCUAAUACCGCAUACGAUCUACGGAUGAAAGUGGGGGAUCGCAAGACCUCAUGCUCAUGGAGCGGCCGAUAUCUGAUUAGCUAGUUGGUAGGGUAAAAGCCUACCAAGGCUUCGAUCAGUAGCUGGUCUGAGAGGACGACCAGCCACACUGGAACUGAGACACGGUCCAGACUCCUACGGGAGGCAGCAGUGGGGAAUUUUGGACAAUGGGCGCAAGCCUGAUCCAGCAAUGCCGCGUGAGUGAAGAAGGCCUUCGGGUUGUAAAGCUCUUUUGUCAGGGAAGAAACGGUGGACUCUAAUACAGAUCACUAAUGACGGUACCUGAAGAAUAAGCACCGGCUAACUACGUGCCAGCAGCCGCGGUAAUACGUAGGGUGCAAGCGUUAAUCGGAAUUACUGGGCGUAAAGCGUGCGCAGGCGGUUGUGCAAGACAGAUGUGAAAUCCCCGGGCUCAACCUGGGAAUUGCAUUUGUGACUGCACGGCUAGAGUGUGUCAGAGGGGGGUAGAAUUCCACGUGUAGCAGUGAAAUGCGUAGAGAUGUGGAGGAAUACCGAUGGCGAAGGCAGCCCCCUGGGAUAACACUGACGCUCAUGCACGAAAGCGUGGGGAGCAAACAGGAUUAGAUACCCUGGUAGUCCACGCCCUAAACGAUGUCUACUAGUUGUUGGGUCUUAAUUGACUUAGUAACGCAGCUAACGCGUGAAGUAGACCGCCUGGGGAGUACGGUCGCAAGAUUAAAACUCAAAGGAAUUGACGGGGACCCGCACAAGCGGUGGAUGAUGUGGAUUAAUUCGAUGCAACGCGAAAAACCUUACCUACCCUUGACAUGUACGGAAUCCCUGAGAGAUUAGGGAGUGCUCGAAAGAGAGCCGUAACACAGGUGCUGCAUGGCUGUCGUCAGCUCGUGUCGUGAGAUGUUGGGUUAAGUCCCGCAACGAGCGCAACCCUUGUCAUUAGUUGCUACGAAAGGGCACUCUAAUGAGACUGCCGGUGACAAACCGGAGGAAGGUGGGGAUGACGUCAAGUCCUCAUGGCCCUUAUGGGUAGGGCUUCACACGUCAUACAAUGGUACAUACAGAGGGCCGCCAACCCGCGAGGGGGAGCUAAUCCCAGAAAGUGUAUCGUAGUCCGGAUUGUAGUCUGCAACUCGACUACAUGAAGUUGGAAUCGCUAGUAAUCGCGGAUCAGCAUGUCGCGGUGAAUACGUUCCCGGGUCUUGUACACACCGCCCGUCACACCAUGGGAGCGGGUUUCACCAGAAGUAGGUAGCCUAACCGUAAGGAGGGCGCUUACCACGGUGGGAUUCGUGACUGGGGUGAAGUCGUAACAAGGUAGCCGUAUCGGAAGGUGCGGCUG
This 1513-nucleotide ribosomal RNA is filed under the name metagenome. RNAcentral describes it as "bacterial SSU rRNA". It matches the Rfam family "Bacterial small subunit ribosomal RNA". The record is from RNAcentral.